AUGGAGCAACUCAUCCUGGACACCAUUUCCAAGCAUAUGAAGGACAAGAAGGUGAUCAGGAGUAGUCAGCAUGGCUUCACCAAGGGGAAAUCAGACUUAACCAACCUAAUAGCAUUCUGUGAUGGGAUGACUGGCUGGGUAGGUGAGGGCAGAGCAGUGGAUGUUGUCUACCUUGACUUCAGCAAGACUUUUGACACCAUCUCCCAUCACAUCCACAUAGACAAGCUCAGGAAGUGCAGGCUAGAUGAGCAGACAGUGAGGUGGAUUGAGAACUGGAUGAAUGGCAGAGCUCAGAGGGUUGUGAUCAGCAACAUGAAGUCUGGUAGGAGGCCUGUAGCUAGCGGUGUCCCACAGGGGUGUAUACUGGGUCCAAUCCUGUUAAACUUCUUCAUUAAUCAUCUGGAUGAUAAGGCAGAGUGCACCCUCAGCACAUUUGCUGGUGAUACAAAACUGGGAGGAGUGGCUGAUACGCCAGAGGGCUGUGCUGCCAUUCAGAGAGACCUGGACAGGCUGGAAAGAUGGGUGGAGAGGAACCUCCUGAAGUUCAACAAAGGGAAAUACAAAAUCCUGCACCUGGGGAGCAAUAACCCCAUGCACCAGGACAGGCUGGAGGCUGACCUGCUGGAAAGCAGCUCUGCAGAGAAGGACCUGGGGGUCCUGGUGAGCAACACGUUGACCAUGAGGCAGCAAUGUGCCCUUGUGGCCGAAAAGGCCAAUGGUAUCCUGGGCUACAUCAGGAAGAGCAUUGCCAGCAGGUCAAGGGAGGUGAUCCUCCCCCUCUCCUCAGCCCCGGUGAGGUCACAUCUGGAGURCUGUGUCCAGUUCUGGGCUCCCCAGUACAAGAGAGAUGUGCAGUUACUGGAGCAAGUCCAGCGAAGGGCUACAAAGAUGAUUAGGGGACUGGAGCAUCUCUCUUAUGAGGAAAGGCUGAGAGAGCUGGGCCUGUUUAGCCUAGAGAAGAGAAGGCUGAGAGGAGAUCUUAUCAACGUGUACAAGUAUCUGAAGGGAGGGUGUCAAGAGGAUGGGACCAGACUCUUUUCGGUGGUGCCCAGUGACAGGAUGAGAGGCACUGGGCACAAACUGAAACACAGGAAGCUCCAUCUGAACAUAAGGAAAAACUGCUUUACUGAGAGGGUGACUGAGCCCUGGACCAGGUUGCUUGGAGGGGUGGUGGAGCCUCCUUCCUUGGAGAUAUUCAAAAGCUGUCUGGACCGGGUGCUGGGCACCGUGACCCUGCUUGAGCAGGGGUGUUGGACUAGACAUGGUCUGCAGAGGUCCCUUCCAGCCUCAGCCAUUCUGUGUGAUUCUGUGAAUGAGAACUAUAACAUUUUCACAACAUUGUUUUUACAGCAUAAGUUCUCACAAACUGCCAUCAUGUUUGAAUAUAAAUGA
This 1392-nucleotide long non-coding RNA is filed under the name Apteryx haastii (Great spotted kiwi). RNAcentral describes it as "lncRNA (ENSAHAG00000007731.1)". The record is from RNAcentral. Lineage: Eukaryota; Metazoa; Chordata; Aves; Apterygiformes; Apterygidae.